AACGAACGCUGGCAGCGUGGAUUAGGCAUGCAAGUCGAACGGGAUCCGGAAGGUAGCAAUACCGGCCGGUGAGAGUGGCGGAAGGGCGAGGAGCACGUGGACAACCUGUCCCGUGGGUGGGGAUACCGUCCCGAAAGGGGCGUUAAUACCGAAUGGGGCCCCGGACCGCAUGGUCCGGCGGCCAAAGGCGGGGACCGCAAGGCCCGCCCCCCCCGGGAGGGGUCCGCGCACCAUCAGCUAGACGGCGGGGUAACGGCCCACCGUGGCUUACGGUUAGCUGGUCUGAGAGGACGACCAGCCGCACUGGGACUGAGACACUGCCCAGCCUCCUACGGGAGGCUGCAGUCGAGGAUCAUUCGCAAUGGGCGAAAGCCUGACGAUGCGACGCUGCGUGGAGGAUGAAGGCCCUCGGGUCGUAAACUCCUGUCAUGGGGGGCGAGGCGGAGGCGGUUAACGGCCGCCCGAGUUGACGGUACCCCAAGAGGAAGCCACGGCUAACUCUGUG
Molecule: ribosomal RNA, 505 nt
Filed under: uncultured bacterium
Lineage: Bacteria
Description: partial 16S ribosomal RNA
Rfam family: Bacterial small subunit ribosomal RNA
Source: RNAcentral